AGCGAACGCUGGCGGCAUGCCUAACACAUGCAAGUCGAACGAGACCUUCGGGUCUAGUGGCGCACGGGUGAGUAACGCGUGGGAACCUGCCCUUAGGUUCGGAAUAACUCCCCGAAAGGGGUGCUAAUACCGGAUAAUGUCUUCGGACCAAAGAUUUAUCGCCUUUGGAUGGGCCCGCGUUGGAUUAGCUAGUUGGUAGGGUAAAAGCCUACCAAGGCGACGAUCCAUAGCUGGUCUGAGAGGAUGAUCAGCCACACUGGGACUGAGACACGGCCCAGACUCCUACGGGAGGCAGCAGUGGGGAAUAUUGGACAAUGGGCGAAAGCCUGAUCCAGCAAUGCCGCGUGAGUGAUGAAGGCCUUAGGGUUGUAAAGCUCUUUUACCCGGGAUGAUAAUGACAGUACCGGGAGAAUAAGCUCCGGCUAACUCCGUG
This 433-nucleotide ribosomal RNA is filed under the name uncultured bacterium. RNAcentral describes it as "partial 16S ribosomal RNA". It matches the Rfam family "Bacterial small subunit ribosomal RNA", at positions 29 to 507 of the family's 1533-position model. The record is from RNAcentral.